Molecule: non-coding RNA, 9657 nt
Organism: Xyrichtys novacula (pearly razorfish)
Lineage: Eukaryota; Metazoa; Chordata; Actinopteri; Labriformes; Labridae
Source: the annotation of a GenBank genome assembly
AUACAGGGUAAGGGGUAGGACUAAGGCUGGGCGAUAAAAUGAUAACGAUAUACACUCACCGGCCACUUUAUUAGGUACACCUGUCCAAUUGCUCGUUAACACUUAAUUUCUAAUCAGCCAAUCACAUGGCGACAACUUAGUGCAUUUAGGCAUGUAGACAUGGUCAAGACAAUCUCCUGCAGUUCAAACCGAGCAUCAGUAUGGGGAAGAAAGGUGAUUUGAGUGACUUUGAACGUGGCAUGGUUGUUGGUGCCAGAAGGGCUGGUCUGAGUAUUUCAGAAACUGCUGAUCUACUGGGAUUUUCACGCACAACCAUCUCUAGGGUUUACAGAGAAUGGUCCGAAAAAGAAAAAAUAUCCAGUGAGCGGCAGUUCUGUGGGCGGAAAUGCCUUGUUGAUGCCAGAGGUCAGAGGAGAAUGGCCAGACUGGUUCGAGCUGAUAGAAAGGCAACAGUGACUCAAAUAACCACCCGUUACAACCAAGGUAGGCAGAAGAGCAUCUCUGAACACACAGUACGUCAAACUUUGAGGCAGAUGGGCUACAGCAGCAGAAGACCACGCCGGGUGCCACUCCUUUCAGCUAAGAACAGGAAACUGAGGCUACAAUUUGCACAAGCUCAUCGAAAUUGGACAAUAGAAGAUUGGAAAAACGUUGCCUGGUCUGAUGAGUCUUGAUUUCUGCUGCGACAUUCGGAUGGUAGGGUCAGAAUUUGGCGUCAACAACAUGAAAGCAUGGAUCCAUCCUGCCUUGUAUCAAAGGUUCAGGCUGGUGGUGGUGGUGUCAUGGUGUGGGGAAUAUUUUCUUGGCACUCUUUGGGCCCCUUGGUACCAAUUGAGCAUCGUUGCAACGCCACAGCCUACCUGAGUAUUGUUGCUGACCAUGUCCAUCCCUUUAUGACCACAAUGUACCCAACUUCUGAUGGCUACUUUCAGCAGGAUAAUGCGCCAUGUCAUAAAGCUGGAAUCAUCUCAGACUGGUUUCUUGAACAUGAUAAUGAGUUCACUGUACUCAAAUGGCCUCCACAGUCACCAGAUCUCAAUCCAAUAGAGCAUCUUUGGGAUGUGGUGGAACGGGAGAUUCACAUCAUGGAUGUGCAGCCGACAAAUCUGCGGCAACUGUGUGAUGCCAUCAUGUCAAUAUGGACCAAGCUCUCUGAGGAAUGCUUCCAGCACCUUGUUGAAUCUAUGCCACGAAGAAUUUAGGCAGUUCUGAAGGCAAAAGGGGGUCCAACCCGUUACUAGCAUGGUGUACCUAAUAAAGUGGCCGGUGAGUGUAUAUCGAAAAUUAACUUCCCUUGAUAUAGAUAUAAAACUUGGUCAAUAUGCUUUUCAAUAAUCGGCAUUCUGCCAUGUUUAGGUAGACUAUACCAAUAGCCAAUAAAAGGAGAGUUGCUCCGGGUCCGCUUUGCGCUGAACCAACCGUGCUGAAUUAGAACCAAGUACUAAACAGCAGAAGCAGGCUGCAGCUACACGCAACCAUAGCACUUUAACAUGUGAAGCCGACAGCACUGUCAGUGAGAAAAAGAGAAAACCCAGCCCUAGGUUGGACUGAGCGAUUAUAUGAUCGUGAUAAAUUUCAGUUCCAUCACGGUGAUCAGCUGUGAGCAUAUUUACUCGAUCAAACAUAGCAGAAGGGUGCGUCAUUACAGCCUAUCAAAGUCGAGGUUUUCCUGCUCACUUCUGUAAAUUGUCAGAGAAGUAAACAGGAGAAGUAAACAGAAUGACCGAAAAUGGAGCUAAACGUGGUGCUGAGGGCAGCAAAAUAGAUGUCAGCCGUGACUUUGAGUUAUUCUCCAAAGAUGUUAUUGUUGAGAAAUUAUUCAACGUCGGUUGUGUGGCAGUGGUUCUGGUAUCUCCAGAGUGACGCCGAGCAUUUAAGCUGAUGUGCAAGGUAUGUCGCAAUCGGCGCCCACCAAAACCAGCAACACAACAGGUCUGUUCAAUCAUAUGAAGAAGUACUUUCCCGAGAGUUAAUGCUGAAAGCAUGAAAAUGCGAGUGGAGUACACACAGCCUGUCACUGUUGAUGGCACAAGCUGCAUUAGCAGUUUAGCCACAACUAGCGGUGCAGCCACCAGACGAAAGCAGCAAUCAAUCAUAUCAUCUACAUUUACAUCAUCUAAUGUUUACAUUUUUAGGGGUCUUCAUUAUCUCUUGCAGGGGUCUUGCAGCGACACUCAGGACUGUAAACUAAUUCACUAUAUUAUUUAGUACUUAUCUGCAUUUGUUGUGCUGUUGAGUUAAAAUAUUUUUAAUGAAUAUAUUUUUCUAAGUUUAUCUUAUUCAAUUUGCUUUAUUUACUUUGUAUGUUCAUAAAAUGUUGAACUAAUCUCUAGUUUCUUUUGUUUUUAGUACAGAUGCUUUAAAAUUCAAAUGAUGCACUUGAACCGAGAGGUUGCUGCUGUCUGUUCUCUCUGCAUUAUCUAUAAUUUUUGUAAUUUUUGCUAGAUUUUUUUUCAUUUUUCUGUUGUCAUUUUGUUGGCUGCUGAUGGAUACUACUGUUGGGUGAAGAGUUUACUCAAGAGAAGAGCUCCUUUCAUUGAGGAAAAGCAAAUCUGGACAACAACAUACAAUUCCAGAGGACAGAAGGAGGUGUUAUCUUGGUUGCCGUGCUGGUGCAAAGGUGAAGGCAAAGCUGAAUGCUAGGAGGUGGUAUAAACCCUUUCUAUAAUCAUCAUGGGAAACGUCAACUCUCUGCCCAACAAAAGGGAUGAGCUGGAGAUAUUGGUGAAGACUGAGAAAGCAUACCGUGAGUGCAGUUUCCUGUGUUUUACUGAAACCUGGUUGAAUCAAAACAACUUGGACUCCAGUGUGGAUCGACCUGGGGCCUGUUCUACGAAGCAGGAUUACUGCUUAGCAAGGUAACUUCGAGGGUAACUUCGAGGUUUCCUGUUCUACGACGCGGGUUCACUUCUUAGCGAGGCGAGUCUCCAUGGCAACAUACGCUAAACGGUUAAGUUCCAGAUUGAACUCACAGAGUAUAAAAACCCCGCCCACUGACCAAUGAGCUUUCUCGAAAAAUGGCUUGUCCGUUCUUGGAGGAUCCUAUAGACCUCGGUGCUCGCAUCGUCCGAGAAGCACUCCAGCUCCUUUACCACCUUUAUGAAAGGCUCAUAUGGCCUACAUAUCACACAAAAAAUGUAAACACGAUAGGAAUGAACAAAUAAAUGAAUUCAUCUUGGAAAUAAAUGGGCAUGGGCUGCAUGGGCUGUGUGAUCACAGACAACAUUUCGGUACUAUUUAGUCGCAGCGCACGGCCCUUGUAAUAACCCUUGUAAUGCAGCGGUGACGGUGUUGCUUUUGAGGUUUAUGAUAGAUUUGAAUUCUUCAUACUUUCUCAUGAUCAUCUCCUGCUCCUCGUUUGUAAAGUCCGCGGUCCUUCGCUCUCCGGUCUGCUCUCUGACACUGCAAACUGGUCCAUGUUCGCGAUUGGUCAGGUGUGGCGGGCUCCGCCUUACAUGCGUGCACGCGCUCAUAGCAAAGCCGGAUCAAUUUACGAGGUUGAUAACCAGCGUCGUAAAACCAUUUAGCAAGACCACUGGCUACCGCGCUACAUUGAGCGAGGUACCUCCAAGGCUACCUCGCUAGGUCGAACGUGCUUCGUAGAACAGGCCCCUGGCUUCACUCUCAUAAGGUCAGACAGAAAUGCUCCAGCUCGUGGCAAGAAGAAAGGAGAAGGUCUGGCUUUAUUUGUCAACCAGCGAUGCUGUAACCGUUCACACAUAACUGUCAAGGAGAAGUUGUGUUGUCCAGAUAUUGAACUGUUGUCAGUUGCUCUUCGGCCAUAUUACGUUCCAAGAGAAUUUACUCAUAUCAUAACAAUAUUUGUCUACAUUUCACCCAAAUCAACUGAAGAAAUUUUGUGCAAUGUUUUGCAAAAUAGUGUUGCCAGGCUACAGACUCAACACCUUGAGGCACUGAUAACAAUACGGGAGACUUCAACCAUGUCACACUCUCAUCUCACUUGACUGGAUUCACACAGUUUGUGAACUGUCCUACCACAGAAAACAAAACCCUGGAUCUGCUGUAUGACAAUGUUAAAGAAGCCUACAGGGCCACUGCCUUAACACCACUGGGCAAGUCAGAUCAUAACUUGGUCUAUCUGCAAACCUGUUACAGACCUUGCGUGCUGAGGCAGCCUGUGACCAAAGUCAAAAUAAGAAGAUGGACACCUCAAGCCAGUGAAGCUCUAAGAGACUGUUUUAAAUCAACAGACUGGGAUGUGCUGCUGGAAAAAGAUGUGGAUAGUAUGGACAUUAAUAAACAGGUUGACUGCUUUACUGAUUAUGUCAACUUCUGUAGAGACACAGUUAUACCCACAAAAACUGUUCGCUGUUUCCCCAACAACAAACCCUUGAUCACAAGAGACAUAAAAACAAUCCUUAACCAGAGAAAGAAAGCUUUUAAAGACAAAGACAAAGAACGACUCAGACAAGUGCAACAAGAGUUGAAUAGGAGACUGAAGAUAACAAAGCUGGCGUACAAAAAAAGAUAGAGAAGAAUCUACAACACAGCAACAUCCGUGAAGUGUGGAGAGGAAUCAGUACCAUCCCUGGACACAGCAAUAAAAAGAAAAGACAGCCAGUGGUGGGUGAUCUGGAAAGAGCUGAUGAACUCAACCUGUUCUUCAACAGAUUUGACACUGCUGUCACACCCACUUCCACUGCUACUCCACCUUCCUCUCCGAAACAAAUCUCCACUACAACUUCUCCCGUUCCUCCUCCAUCUCAUUUCAAUGUCUCAACCACUUCAACUGCCUCCCUCUUAGAACACCAGUCCUUGUCUAUCAUCGAAACAGGGGUGAGGAUGGAGCUUGGAAGACUUUGUCCUGGGAAUGCAGCUGGUCCAGAUGGUGUGUGUCCAAGGCUGCUUGGAGACUGUGCGGCAGAACUGUGUCAACCUCUCCACAGGAUCUUCAACCUGAGUCUACAGCUGGGGCGGGUAACUACUCCGUGGAAAACAUCCUGCAUUGUGCCAGUACCAAAAACAAAAUGUCCUGCUGAACUCAAUGACUACCGACCAAUGGCCCUCACUUCACUCAUCAUGAAAACCCUGGAGCGGCUGAUUCUACGCCUUCUAAGUUCUGAGGUCAAAGACAAACUGGAUUCCCUGCAGUUAGCACACUAGGAACACAUUGGAGUGUAUUAUGCUGUCCUCUACAUGCUUCACCGUGCCCUGUCUCAUCUGGAGGAACCUGGGGUUUAUGUGAGGAUCAUGUUCUUCGACUUUUUAAGUGCAUUCAGCACCAUCCAACCCACCAUACUUAAAGAUCCAAACCCCCUCUUCAGCCAGUGAACACCUGUGGAGUGGACAUCGAAGUGGUGACAUCAUAUAAAUACCUAGGUGUACAUCUGGAUAAUAAGUUGGACUGGUCUAAGAAUAUAGACUUCAUCUACAGAAAGGGGCAGAGCCACCUCUUUUGCCUGAGAAGACUCCGAUCAAUAGACAUCUGUAGUAAGAUGCUGCAGAUGUUUUAUCAGUCUGUGGUGUCAAGUGUUCUGUUCUAUGCUGCAGUCUGCUGGGGCCUCAUGUAUCAACGCUGGCGGUGCCAGAAAACCUUGCGUCCGCCAAGAUCGGCGCACACAUCCAGAUUUAUCAUUGCGACACGAGCAUCGGUUCCAGCGCUAAUCAACGCAAAGUGAGGAGGUGGUGUAGAAGUUGGCGUUGAGCCGAUACUUGCGUUGACGCCACUUUGGCGACGCUGUGUGGCGGUGUUUGGUGACUCACUAUGUGACAAGCGUGCACCACAUCCCCGUGGCCGAGCAGCACGUCGCCCCACAUGACAAACCAGCUGUAGACGGAGGGAUCCGAGCUGAUCCCUGCCGGGCCGCCGUCCUCGCGCGGGAGAAUCUCAUCGCCACAGUGUGAAUGGGUAAGAAGUGAAUACACAGUUCAAUGAGCCAAAUUAAUUUAUUUUUCGCCUCCAGACGCUCGAGGACAUUUACGAGCCGGUCCAGCCGCUCGUUGAUCCCCGCGAUCCCCCCGAUGAUUUCUUCCUGCGAUUGCAGGACCGCCUCCGUGAGGACCCUUCCACUGCGUCCGUGUGGUCCAGCGGAAGCGCCGCGGCUGGUGGACGCUCCACCGCUUGUCGGCGCGCUGGUGCUGAUGCUGGUGCUGGGGCUGGGGCCGGGGUGGCCCAAAUGCCGCUGGUCCUGGCCGACGACUCCCAGCCGGCGGACGGGCUGCCGCGGGCCGGGGUUCCGCAAGCCGGCGACACGGCCGACACAUUGAUUUCUGUGACACAAUAAAAAUAUUGGUUCAUUUCAAUUCCUGCUUCUGUGUAUCUGUUGCGUUUACAUCUCUCUCCACGGUAUCAUAGGUAAUGUAAUCCAGUAUUUAGAGGUCAGUUAUGCACAUUACAGUUGUUUAUUGCAUAAAAAGUUAUCGAAAAAUGAAGUUAAAGGCGAAGUAUCAAUCACGUUUAAAACUAGACUGAAUCCCGACGUUGAAAUGAAGUAUAAACUUAGAUUAGACGUCUAAUAUACGUCUUUUGCUCAGUGGGAUGGCAAAGCAUGUGGACAUUUGUGUGACACGCCACUUACCCUAUAAUAAUAAUCGCCACCACCCGCUGCUCAAACGGCGUGAGGGUCUCCUCCCCCGGACCCCCACCUGUCUGGCCGGUACUCCUCCGGAGGGCAGCUGUACGCCGCUUGACCUCCACCUUGAGGUCCGACCACUUUUUUUAAAUCUCCACGGGGGUGCGUUCACCCUCUCGCAAACUUUCUCCCACUCCAAGCAUUUUCGUUUUGCACUGACGCCACUGGACAGGCUGCCAAACAAAACACGCUGUCGCUCCUCCACCUCCGCCACCAGCACCUCCACCUCGCACGCCGUAAAUUUAGUUUUUCUUGUCAUUUUGUCUGCGUGCGAGGACAGGGAGACCCUAUUUAAAUAAAUCUGCAUAUUUAUAGGAGGGCGUAACGGGGGCGGGCCCGGUCACUCCGAUAUCUGCGCUCAAUUCCAAGCUGAUUGGGAUUUAUCAAGGAAACACACGUGGCUUUCGGUGCCCGCACACCUUGAUACAUACAGAUUUUUUUCAGCGUGACGGACCUUGCGUGCGCUCGUUUCUGGUAUGAGUCCCACGCAAGUGUUGAUACAUGAGGCCCCUGGGGAGGCAGCAUCAGACACAAAGAUGCAAGACGUCUUAACAAACUGGUGAAAAGGGCCGGCUCUGUGGUUGGACUCAAGUUGGACUCAGUGGAGGAUGUGGUGGAGAAAUCUACACUGAGAAAUUUGGAGUCUAUUCUAAAGAACAUGGAUCACCCACUUCACAACACCUUGAUGGACCAAAGGGCCAAUGGUGGUGGACGGCUCCUCUCCCUUGGCUGCAGGACAAAAAGAUUCAAAAGAUCUUUUGUAUCAACAGCCAUUAGACUUUAUAACUCUUGUGUAAAUAGUAGAUAACUUUUCUUGGAGACAUAUAUUAUUAUCUUCUGUGAGACAACAGACAAUUGAAUUUCCCUUCUGGGAUUAAUAAAGUUCUUCUUAUUCUUAUUCUUAAAACAGAAAGUUAAAAAAAAAAUUGUGAUAAUAAUUGAGAUCGGACGAUAUGACAAAAUAUAUCGUGAUCGCCCAGGCCUAGUAAGGGGUAAGUCUCUGUCUCAGCUGCCUGGUUUACUGAUCACCAGAUAAACACAGGGUUGUGUCUCGUUUCUGCACUGGCACUAUGUGAACACUGGCCGCUCCGGCUCUUUCAUUUUCCAUGCCUGUCAACUGACGUGUGUCUCUGUCGGCUGUCUCCAUGUUCAAUGCAAUCUCAAGAACUUGUGUGUUCUUGAGAGUGAGAUAAUUUCUGAGAGUAGUCUCCUCUGACAUGACUUAUUUUUUAUCGCACUGACAAACCGAUCACGUAGGGCAGAAUCCAGGUUGGAACCAAACUCACAGUUGGCUGCACACUGCUUCAAUUCUGCUACAUACUGAGCUACUGGUUGGCCCGACUUCUGGUUACAUUGGUUAAAACAGAACCUUUCUGCUACUAAUAUUGGUUUUGGCUUGAAAUGGCUCUUCAGAAUAGCCACUAUAUCAUCAAAUGUCUUGUCUUUCAGCUUAUUGGGCUGCACCAAGUUUCUCAAAAGUCCAUAUUUCUUUGUGCCCAUCACACUUGGCAAUGUGGCUACUUGCUUCUUUUCAGCUAUAUUGUUAGCUUCAAAAAACUGUUCCAGUCAUUCAAUGCACGCUGAACACAGCUCACUUUCUGGCUUAAACCAAUGAAUUCUUCUGAACAGGGCCAUUGUACUCACGAGUACCGACACUAAGUGUCUUACCUUCCCCGUAGGAAAAUGUUAACUUUAUCCUUGUCACCUGUUGUUGUGUAUUAAUUGAAGAGACGUUAACAUUCACAUUCAUGACUUUACUCGGCCAUCUUCAGCAAGAACACGGCGCAAGUGCACGUAAACAUCUUCACGGGGCAUUCGGGAUGUGAAAACACAACAACACAAAACACUUCAAUACAAAAUAACUGUCUUAAUACACCACAGGUAAAAAGUUGACUCCAGUAUUAUUGAAAGUCUUCUUACCUCAGAAUAGGAAUUGGUCGAAGUCAGUAAAUUGAAACAGAAAUCAAAGAUCAAAAUAUGUGCGUUAAGUUUCAUUCUAUUGUUUUUUGCGACUUGGAAGCAUCAAACACACAAAGGCAUUUGGCUUACAUGGAAAAUAGAUAUCUUGUUCAUUUCUCAACUGAUUUUCAUGCGGUUUCCUUUAUUGAUAAUGCCAAAAUGUGUGCUAUCAAUAAAGAACAUAUGAAUAAACCAAUGAAGGGUUUAAAAAACAGAAAUGUGGACCUACUAUGAAAUCAUGUUUAUUUAUGCUCUUAGGGUACAAGCUGGUCUGUAUUAUUCCUCUGGUGUCUCUUAUCUUUCUCUUUAUAUUUGAAUGUUCUUUAUUGAAUUUUAACAUAUUUCACACACAUACACACAAAGUAUGAAAACCCUUAGGAACACCAAUGCUUUUCACACAUAAAUAAAAUUUAAAAAGAAAAGCUAGUUUCUUUAGCUUUGCCUAAUUUCUUCAGCAAAGAGACUAAACACAACUCCCCCACUCUCUUCCAGCAGCCGCUUGUUUGUAGCAAGACCUCAGGCCAGUCCAUUACGAACUACUGCGGGGUGACGCAAAUCAAGGAAGAACAUUUAUGAUGAUUUCUUCAAUGAAAUGCAAUCAGACUGAGACGCUAAGGCAGAAGAACUACCACAUCUGCAGUGCAAAAUGAUGAAUAUGGUGAUUAUUACUUAAAGGAAAUGAUAAAGAAAUGUUUUUCUUUGAGCUGCGUCACCCCGCUGCAGUCUGUAAUGGACUGGUUAAGGUCUCACUACAAACAAACAGCUGCAGGAAGAGAAAAGGUGAGUUGUGUUUAGUCUCUUUGCUAAAGAAAUUAGGCAAAGCUAAAAAGAUGUUUGGUGGCUAGUUCUGUGGCUGGGACCCUACACUCACCGGCCACUUUAUUAGGUACACCUGUCCAACUGCUCGUUAACACUUAAUUUCUAAUCAGCCAAUCACAUGGCGGCAACUUAGUGCAUUUAGGCAUGUAGACAUGGUCAAGACAAUCUCCUGCAGUUCAAACCGAGCAUCAGUAUGGGGAAGAAAGGUGAUUUGAGUGACUUUGAACGUGGCAUGGUUGUUGGUGCCAGAAGGGCUGGUCUGAGUAUUUCAGAAACUGCUGAUCUA